GAUGAACGCUAGCGGCAGGCCUAACACAUGCAAGUCGAGGGGUAACAGGGAGUGCUUGCACUUCGCUGACGACCGGCGCACGGGUGCGCACCGCGUAUGGAACCUACCUCUUGCAGGGGAAUAGCCCAGGGAAACUUGGAUUAAUGCCCCGUAGUACUAUUUUGCGGCAUUGCAUUAUAGUUAAAGCCUUCGGGCGGCAAGAGAUGGCCAUGCGUCCCAUUAGCUGGAUGGUAAGGUAACGGCUUACCAUGGCUACGAUGGGUAGGGGCCCUGAGAGGGGGAUCCCCCACACUGGUACUGAGACACGGACCAGACUCCUACGGGAGGCAGCAGUGAGGAAUAUUGGACAAUGGAGGAGACUCUGAUCCAGCCAUGCCGCGUGCAGGAAGACGGCCCUAUGGGGUGUAAACUGCUUUUAUACGGGAAGAAAAACAGCUACGUGUAGUUGACUGACGGUACCGUAAGAAUAAGACCGCUAACU
RNAcentral lists this ribosomal RNA (481 nucleotides) under uncultured bacterium. RNAcentral's name for it is "bacterial SSU rRNA". It matches the Rfam family "Bacterial small subunit ribosomal RNA", at positions 28 to 502 of the family's 1533-position model. The record is from RNAcentral.